RNAcentral lists this ribosomal RNA (414 nucleotides) under uncultured bacterium. Its description in RNAcentral is "bacterial SSU rRNA". It matches the Rfam family "Bacterial small subunit ribosomal RNA", at positions 355 to 761 of the family's 1533-position model. The record is from RNAcentral.
UCGGGAAUAUUGGACAAUGGGGGCAACCCUGAUCCAGCAAUGCCGCGUGUGUGAAGAAGGCCUGCGGGUUGUAAAGCACUUUCAGUAGAGAAGAAAAGCCUAAGGUUAAUAACCUUGAGUCUUGACGUAACCUACAGAAGAAGCACCGGCUAACUCCGUGCCAGCAGCCGCGGUAAUACAGAGGUGGCAAGCGUUGUUCGGAAUUACUGGGCGUAAAGGGCGCGUAGGCGGCCCUCUAAGUCAGACGUGAAAUCCCCCGGCUUAACCUGGGAACUGCGUCUGAUACUGGAGGGCUUGAGUAUGGGAGAGGGAUGUAGAAUUCCAGGUGUAGCGGUGAAAUGCGUAGAUAUCUGGAGGAAUACCGGUGGCGAAGGCGGCAUCCUGGACCAUUACUGACGCUGAGGCGCGAAAGCU